CGAUGUUCCUUUCCUCUUCCCUUCGUUCCUUUUCACUUCGCGACAAGGAAGAGCUCUCCUUCCCUCUCUGCAGCAAGGAAGGAGGCUCUUCUUCCCUCUCCAUAGCAAGCAAAGAGACUCUUCUUCCUUCUCUGUAACAAGAAAGGAAGAGCUCUUCUUCCCUCUUCGCAGCAAGUAAGGAGGAGCUCAAAGGUAACCCUAAAUUUCACAUUUCUUAUACAAAUAGAAUCCCAGCGAGCAUCGGCCGUGCAAACCAGCCACCUACCGACCGCAUGCCCCCUUUGUGUGUGUUUGUACACGAAGUGACCAUUCAUCGCCUGAUGAGGCAGCGACCCCCUCGUGUGCGACCGCAAGUGAAGUGAGUGCUCGUCACCUAGCGAGGUAGCGACCCCCUUGUUGUGUUUUUUUAUAUAAUUAUUUAGAGAUGGUGCUGUGUAAAUCUCAUCCAACUUAGUCCUCCAAGGUCUUAACUUUUACAUUUAUCAAAAAUGUAUUCUCCUUGAGAAAACUUUCUAAUCCCACACGGGGAUAAAGUGAGUUUCCUAGAAGUGGUACAUGAACUACAUAUCCUCAAUCACAAUUAAUGAUGUAGAACUAGUGAUAGCUAAAACUAUUAAUUUCAGAAUUUCCAUUAGGUUUUAUGGUCUUAAGUAUUAUUUGAACUAUUUUGGGAUGACUAACAGGUUUCUUAUUCUUCCAUUGUACACGAAGGCCCAAGUAUUCUGAAUUUGGAAGCUCAUCAUUGUGCAUUCAUUCAAUUUCCUAAUUUAAAUUUCCUUGUAACUUCAUUGGCAGAGGUGCCUUGCUAGAUGGUUAGUGGAGAAAGGCAGGCAGCACGGAUUCAUUGUUUAUACUUGAAAGCAAUAUUCAGGCACAAUACUUAUCCAAGAUGCUAUUGGUGAGAAGGUUGGCAAAUUCAUUUAGCCAUCUUCAACCUUGUUUGGUAGCUUUAUUGUUGCAUUGACGAAAGGUUGGCUCCUAUCACUCCUUCUAAUGUCAAGCAUACCUCUUAUUGCUGUUGCUGGAGCUGCCGUGUCAUUACUUAUUUUCAAAUCCUCAAACAGUGGGCAGAAGGCAUAUGCCCAAGCUAGUACUAUGGUUGAACACACAGUUGGAUCUAUUAUAACAGUGUCUUGGCCAAGCAUCACCAUGCCUGUCCUCCUUUGCAUCGGGCCAAGCUGCAACAUACCAAAUGUUCGAGAUAAUCAACCAAAUACCGAGUAUUGAUGUUUAUGACACCAGCGACAUUUUGUUGGAAGAAAUCAAGGGUGAUGAACUCAAAGAUGUUCACUUUAGCUAUCCAUCGAGGUUUGAACAACUGAUAUUUGAUGGCUUCUCCAUGUGUAUUUCAAGUGGUAUGACUAUGGCUUUAGUAGGAGUGGCAGUGGAAAAUCUACUGUGAUUAGAUUAGUGGAGAGAUUCUAUGAUCCGCAAGUUGGCGAAGUACUGAUAUUUGUUUUGUGAAUUAAUGGUUGAUGGGUGAGUAACUUUGCUGAAUCUUGAAAUUAAGAAGAUAAAUGAUGAGAAGAAAGCAACCUUGGUUGCUCAGUUUGCAGCAGAGGCAACACUUUGAAGAGUUUAUGCAGCUCAAAAAGAUGAUGACACGCCUCCAAUUGAAGCCAUUCUUGCACCUCUUGAGGCAGAGUUGAAGUUAGCACGGCAAGAGCUACAGGAUGCCAACAAGGCUUUGGAUCAGCUUACUAAAUCAAAGGAAGCAGCACUAUCUUAUGCAUUGUGUUUUUAGUGAUGCAGAACCGUGGGCUUGCUCCUGAAGGCAAAGGCUAACUUCUAUUUAGGAAGAUUAGAUCAAGCAUUUGAAUUGCUGAAGAAGCUUGAACAAGGGAAAAGUAUAAUGGACAAGUACUGUUAAAUUUCACUAUUUUUUUAGAUUUUAAUAGGGUAAUAUUUUUUUCUUCAAAUAUGUUCUUACAAACUAUGACUUUUAUUAAUAGUCAGUUUGUAAUAGCAGAAUUUAACAAGAUUAUGUAAUAGCUAGUUUGUUAUAGAUUUCGUAUCUUGUUUUGGAUCUUCA
This is a long non-coding RNA of Zingiber officinale, 2032 nucleotides long. RefSeq lists it as uncharacterized. NCBI's taxonomy places the organism in Eukaryota, Viridiplantae, Streptophyta, Magnoliopsida, Zingiberales, Zingiberaceae. The transcript is spliced from 5 exons. The record is from RefSeq and is a predicted model, not a curated record.